Felis catus (domestic cat) is the source of this 3690-nucleotide long non-coding RNA. RefSeq lists it as uncharacterized. The transcript is spliced from 6 exons. NCBI's taxonomy places the organism in Eukaryota, Metazoa, Chordata, Mammalia, Carnivora, Felidae. The record is from RefSeq and is a predicted model, not a curated record.
CACGUGACCGGACAACCGCGCGCCGGGUCCCGGGUCCCGGCGUCCGCCCGGUGGCCCCCUCCGGCUGCGGGCGCGCUCGGCCUGCUUCCCGCCCCCCCCCCCCACCUUCUCCUAACGCUCCGCGCGGGCCACUCGGAGGUGGUGCGGCGGCGACGGCGACUCCGGUCCGGGCUCCAUGACCUGUAACCUCCCGGGGACGCUGACGAGCAGCCGCGCUCAGCUCAAGAAUCACCCCCUCCAAGUUGUCUUCCUGGAUUUACUCGGCACCAAAGUUAGCCUUCUCUUUCCUGGGGCCCGGCAGCCUGGAAAGAGAAACGGUGGUGGUGGAUGAUCGCACCGAUCCCGAUUUGGAAGUUGUGUGGCAGGUGACUUAGAAGGAUAAGUGGAGCCCUGGGAUGGAGGCACCGACAUGUCUUCUGAACAAAGGGAGAGCGAAUAUGGCGGCGGCGACGGGAGCCACGUGCUGUAUUCCAACAGCCUGUGAAAAACUGAAUCCUUCAAAGAACGAUGUGAGUGAACUUGGAAGCAGAUGCUCUCGGUAGAGCCUUCAGAUGAGACUGCAACCCUGGCUGACACCUGAUUGCAGCGCUCGCGAGAGACCUUGAAGCGGAAGCCGCAGAGAGUGAGAGUGCAAGCAGGGGAGAGGGAGAGACAGAGAGAGAGAGAAUCCCAAGCAGGUUCCACACUCAGCAUGGAGCCCAACAUGGGGCUCGCUCUUACAACCCUGCUAUCACGACUUGAGCGGAAAUCGAGUUGGAUGCUCAACCGACUGAGCCACCCAGGCGUCUCUGAAUUGUACACUUUAAACAGGUGAAUUGCAUGGUAUGUGAAUUAUAUCUCAACAAAGUGGUUAAAAAAACAAGCCGACGCAUUCACAGGGCUCGUCUUGCUUGUUUUCUCUCUGGGAUCACUGUCCUGUGUUGCCCAAUACCUAGCAUCUUGAAGACUGUUGCUUCACAUUGUCUUUUUUGUUGUUGUUGUUUCAUGCAGGAGGGUAAAUACAAAUCCUAUUACUCAUCGUAACCAGAAGUUAGCAGUCUCCCUAUUUUUUUUAAUUGGGGAAACCGAGGCCCAACGCAGCUAACUGGCUUGCCAAAGUUCACGUUAGUGAGUGGCAGAGUCAGGACUAGCCGAGACUUCCGGAUAUCUAAUCUGAAGUCGGGACAGGAUUGCUUCCUGUCUGUCCAGCUUCUGGGGCAACUUGAUGGCAGACGGUUAAUUAAGCAAUCAUAGACAAUGUAAAUAUCUGUGACCUGAGGAUCCCCGAAAGGCCCGGAUCGGUUCUCUGCCUCCCCCUCAACCAGCAAGCAUUGAUUGCACACCUACGUGCGAGGCUUGUUUGGGAGAACUCCCUGGGGACAGAGAAGCAGGUGCCAUCAUCCCUGGCAACAAGGGGCUCACCAUCUGUUUGGGGAAAAAGGCUCCACUCUCUGUGGAACAUCUCUGUGGCUUGGGCCAUUUACCUAUUAUAUAAUAAAAUGGCUCACUUCACUUGCAGCCAAGACGAUCAGGAGGGGUUCAUGGUGUGCGGGGGCUCUUCUCAGGAAAGGUUUCCCAGAGGAGGAAGAAUUUGGGUCUCAAAACACAGGCAGCACCCCUGACUGGGUGGGGCACUGAAGGCAGGACAUUGUCUCCGCAGGGCGUGUGUGAAAAUGCACACAAGGCCGCAGAGGUUCCUUGGCUGUAAGAAAAGCCUGAGUCUUGCAGUGGGAAGGCACAGGGGGGAUAUUGUACCGGCCAGAGGGCAGACCUGGGGGGUUUGAUGGAAGUCCUGUGAUGAGGAAAUGACUAAUAAGGAAGCCCACUGAGAAAUCAAAUGCGCCCAGGGAGACAGGUUUUUAUAGGAAGACAAGUAUCUUCCGAGAUCACGAAAAACUGGGCUGUCCACUUGAAGUUACAGGACAAAAUAUUCCAGACCCUCAUCAUUCAAUCACUCACUGAGCUUGUAUUGAACACCUACUAUGUACUGGGAAUUGUGCUGGGGGCUGUGGGUUCACAGGUGCCUGAGACUCGUGGCUUGCCCUAGUUCAUGGUCUAGAGAGGAAGACACUUGGAUGAUGACAGAAGGCGUAUUAGGUGGUGGGUUUUCCAGAAAGUGUAAAUUCACCUUCUUCUUUCAUUUUUUUCUCUCUCUUCCGGUUUCAUAACUUAGAGAAUUGUACUCCCCCCCCCCAACCCCACCAAAAAAAAGAAGAAGAAAAAAAACCCCUAGCAAUCACAAGUGUCUGAGAAAAAUACAAACAUACCCACGUAUCUUGGUUGACGGUUAAGUCUGAUUACACUCCACUCAGCAACUGCAGAGCAGAUACAUACUCCCUGGUGAGCAAACAGUAGAGUUUCGGGGAAAAUUUGUAAUAACUAUGAGCAUAUUAUAGAGUCAGAAACCCAACUUACCAAACAGAUUCAUGAGAGAGUGGUUAUUUCACAGUUUUAAGGUAUCCUUUAUUUUAUUUUAUAUUUUAUUCUAUUCUAUUCUAUUCUAUUCUAUUCUAUUCUAUUCUAUUCUAUUCUAUUUUUUAAGUAGGCUACAUACCCAAGGCAGAGCCCAACAUGGGGCUUGAACUAACGACCCUGAGAUCAAGACCUGAACUGAGAUCGAGAGUCAGAUGCUUAACUGACUGAGCCACCCAGGCCCCCUGAAGGUGUACUUAUUUUAGAAGAGAUUCACAAAGUUACUGAAUUUGAGUGAGCAUGCGUUUGUUCUAUUCCCCAGGGCUUUCAGAUAAGGCGUUUAUAGAAAGUGACUUGUCCCAUCCCAUAGCUAAUUAGUGGCCGAGCCUAGGAAUCCAGCUCAUUCUUUCUGAGCCCCAGACUCUUCACUUGAACUUCCCUGGGAUAGAAGGUUUGCUUCCAGACUACUCAUUAAACACUAAGUACAACGAAGGGAAAAGAAUGUCUUAAAGCUCAAGGGUGCGAAGCCGUAAGUACAGUGACAACCAACUAAAAACUCAGAUAAAGUACCUCUGAAAUGAUCACGUGUUGCAGAGUGGUCGAUGGGAAAACAAGACUUGAAUUCCUUAAAAGGGAUUUACACGUAAAGAUCUAGGAACUCCUCAAAUAGCAUAUUCUGUCUCUGGGACCUUGUGCAAAUCAUUGAGCCUUCCUCGUUCUCUGUUACUCAUCGUGUGUGUGUGUGUGUGUGUGUGUGUGUGUGUAAUAUUUAUUUUAUUUUUGAGAGAGCACGAGAGCGUGUGCACAAGUGGGGAAGGGGCAGAGAGGGGAAGACAGGAUCCCAAGCGGGCUGGCAGCAGAGAGCCCCAUGUGGGGCUCAAACUCACUGACGCUCCAGCCGUGAUAAACUGGUAGCGGUUCCCUGAUGAGCCGGCCUCACUCACCUCCAGGCUUUGCAGUAGCUUUUUCCUCUGUCUAGAAUGCGCAGCCCCUUCCAGCGCCCCUUUCCUCCCCUCAGCCCUGUAAUCCUGCAGAAUUUUGUGUCCAUAUUACCCACCUGAGAAGCCUUCCACGGGUCAGAACUCUCCUCCUCUGUGCCCCCCGUCAGCGCGCUGUGCGUCUGUCUUAGCACUCAUCACCUGAUUAAAACUGCCUUUUCCCAUGUUGGUCUCUCCCACUCAGUUCUGUAGGGCUGUCUUACUCUUCAUCCUGUUUCCAGAGGAGCCUUUCGAAUGAAUGAUGAAUGUUUAAAUGCUUUGUAAAUGGCAACUUGCAACACGAGUGUUAAGUAUUACGUAA